Molecule: ribosomal RNA, 253 nt
Filed under: uncultured bacterium
Lineage: Bacteria
Description: partial 16S ribosomal RNA
Rfam family: Bacterial small subunit ribosomal RNA
Source: RNAcentral
UACAGAGGUCCCAAGCGUUGUUCGGAUUCACUGGGCGUAAAGGGUGCGUAGGUGGUGAGGUAAGUCGGAUGUGAAAGCUCGGAGCUCAACUCCGAAAUGGCAUUGGAAACUACCUCGCUCGAGGGUUGGAGGGGGGACUGGAAUGCUUGGUGUAGCAGUGAAAUGCGUAGAUAUCAAGCGGAACACCAGUGGCGAAGGCGAGUCCCUGGACAACUCCUGACACUGAGGCACGAAAGCUAGGGGAGCAAACAGG